GGAAGCAGCAGUGAGGAAUUUUUCACAAUGGGCGAAAGCCUGAUGGAGCAAUACCACGUGAACGAUGAAGGUCUUCUGAUUGUAAAGUUCUUUUAUUUAGGAAAAAAAGCAGGAUAGGAAAUGAUUCUGCCGUGAUUGUACUAAUUGAAUAAGUGACAGCUAACUAUGUGCCAGCAGCUGCGGUAAAACAUAGGUCACGAGCAUUAUCCGGAUUUAUUGGGCGUAAAGGAAGCGUAGGUGGAGGAGUUGAUCCAUUGUCAAAAGCAUCUGCUUAACAGGUGUCCGCGAUGGAUAUCGCUUCUCUAGAAUUAGUUAGGGGGUACUGGAAUUCAAUGUGUAGCGGUGGAAUGCGUAGAUAUAUUGAGGAACACCAGAGGCUAAGGCGAGUACCUGGGACAUAAUUGACACUGAGGCUUGAAAGCGUGGGGAGCAAAUGGGAUUAGAUACCCCAGUAGUCCACGCCGUAAACGAUGGGUAUUAGGUAUUUGGUUUAAAACUGAGUGCUGUAGCU
Molecule: ribosomal RNA, 511 nt
Filed under: Candidatus Mycoplasma haematolamae
Lineage: Bacteria; Bacillati; Mycoplasmatota; Mollicutes; Mycoplasmatales; Mycoplasmataceae
Description: bacterial SSU rRNA
Rfam family: Bacterial small subunit ribosomal RNA
Source: RNAcentral